AGUGGCGGACGGGUGAGGAAUACAUGAGAAUCUGCCUCAAAGUCGGGGACAACAGUGGGAAACUACUGCUAAUACCGGAUGAGCUCGAAAGGUAAAAGGUUAAUUGCUUAGAGGGGAGCUCAUGUCUGAUUAGCUAGAUGGUAGUGUAAGGGACUACCAUGGCCACGACCAGUAGCUGGUCUGAGAGGAUGAGCAGCCACACUGGGACUGAGACACGGCCCAGACUCCUACGGGAGGCAGCAGUGGGGAAUUUUCCGCAAUGGGCGAAAGCCUGACGGAGCAAUACCGCGUGAGGGAGGAAGGCUCUUGGGUUGUAAACCUCAAAACUUAGGGAAGAAAAAAAUGACGGUACCUAAUGUAAGCAUCGGCUAACUCCGUGCCAGCAGCCGCGGUAAUACGGAGGAUGCAAGCGUUAUCCGGAAUCAUUGGGCGUAAAGAGUCCGUAGGUGGCAUUUCAAGUCCAGUUUCAAAGACCGAAGCUCAACUUCGGAAAGGGAGUGGAAACGGAAAAGCUAGAGUAUAGUAGGGGUAGAGGGAAUUCCUAGUGUAGCGGUGAAAUGCGUAGAGAUUAGGAAGAACACCAGUGACGAAGGCGCUCUACUGGGCAUAUACUGACACUGAGGGACGAAAGCUAGGGGAGCGAAAGGGAUUAGAUACCCCUGUAGUCCUAGCGGUAAACGAUGGAUACUAGGCGU
Molecule: ribosomal RNA, 695 nt
Filed under: uncultured Chroococcales cyanobacterium
Lineage: Bacteria; Bacillati; Cyanobacteriota; Cyanophyceae; Chroococcales
Description: bacterial SSU rRNA
Rfam family: Bacterial small subunit ribosomal RNA
Source: RNAcentral